RNAcentral lists this non-coding RNA (24 nucleotides) under Arabidopsis thaliana (thale cress). Lineage: Eukaryota; Viridiplantae; Streptophyta; Magnoliopsida; Brassicales; Brassicaceae. The record is from RNAcentral.
GACCCUGCCUGUGAUAGAUACUCA